This 254-nucleotide ribosomal RNA is filed under the name uncultured bacterium. RNAcentral's name for it is "partial 16S ribosomal RNA". It matches the Rfam family "Bacterial small subunit ribosomal RNA", at positions 524 to 777 of the family's 1533-position model. The record is from RNAcentral.
UACGGGGGGGGCAAGCGUUGUUCGGAAUUACUGGGCGUAAAGGGCUCGUAGGCGGCCAACUAAGUCGGACGUGAAAUCCCUCGGCUUAACCGGGGAACUGCGUCCGAUACUGGAUGGCUUGAGUUCGGGAGAGGGAUGCGGAAUUCCAGGUGUAGCGGUGAAAUGCGUAGAUAUCUGGAGGAACACCGGUGGCGAAGGCGGCAUCCUGGACCGACACUGACGCUGAGGAGCGAAAGCCAGGGGAGCAAACGGGG